This 329-nucleotide ribosomal RNA is filed under the name uncultured eukaryote. RNAcentral's name for it is "partial 18S ribosomal RNA". It matches the Rfam family "Eukaryotic small subunit ribosomal RNA", at positions 1470 to 1796 of the family's 1831-position model. The record is from RNAcentral.
CCCUUAGAUGUUCUGGGCCGCACGCGCGCUACACUGACGGAGGCAGCGAGCGUGUCCUUCGCCGGCAGGUGCGGGCAAUCUUGCGAGUCUCCGUCGUGCUGGGGAUAGAUGGUUGCAAUUGUCGAUCUUGAACGAGGAAUUCCUAGUAAGCGCGAGUCAUCAGCUCGCGCUGAUUACGUCCCUGCCCUUUGUACACACCGCCCGUCGCUACUACAGAGUGCCCGUGUCCAAGAAACGGUCGGACCUGUGCGGCCUCUCCGGGCGACCGGAAGGCCGUUACGGGGAAGACCCUUUAUUUGACGCGGGUCGAUGAAGUAAAAGUCGUAACA